RNAcentral lists this ribosomal RNA (251 nucleotides) under uncultured prokaryote. Its description in RNAcentral is "partial 16S ribosomal RNA". It matches the Rfam family "Bacterial small subunit ribosomal RNA", at positions 525 to 775 of the family's 1533-position model. The record is from RNAcentral.
ACGUAGGGAGCGAGCGUUGUCCGGAAUCAUUGGGCGUAAAGCGCGCGUAGGCGGCCCGAUAAGUCCGCUGUGAAAGUCAACGGCUCAACUGUUGAAAGCCGGUGGAUACUGUCGGGCUAGAGUACGGAAGAGGCAAGUGGAAUUCCUGGUGUAGCGGUGGAAUGCGUAGAGAUCCGGAGGAACCCCGGUGGCGAAGGCGACUUGCUGGGCCUGAACUGACGCUCAGACGCGAAAGCAUGGGGAGCGAACGG